CCGGGCGACCGGCGCACGGGUGAGUAACACGUAUGCAACCUGGCCGCCACAGGGGGAUAACCCGCGGAAACGCGGCCUAAUACCCCGUGACGCCACCGGAGGGCAUCCUCCGGUGGCCAAAGGAGCGAUCCGGUGGCGGAUGGGCAUGCGGCGCAUUAGCUAGACGGCGGGGUGACGGCCCACCGUGGCGACGAUGCGUAGGGGUUCUGAGAGGAAGGCCCCCCACACUGGGACUGAGACACGGCCCAGACUCCUACGGAAGGCAGCAG
RNAcentral lists this ribosomal RNA (269 nucleotides) under uncultured bacterium. RNAcentral's name for it is "partial 16S ribosomal RNA". It matches the Rfam family "Bacterial small subunit ribosomal RNA", at positions 87 to 354 of the family's 1533-position model. The record is from RNAcentral.